UGGGGAAUUUUGGACAAUGGGGGCAACCCUGAUCCAGCCAUUCCGCGUGAGUGAAGAAGGCCUUCGGGUUGUAAAGCUCUUUCAGCAGGAACGAAACGGUCGGCUUUAAUAAAGUCGGCUAAUGACGGUACCUGCAGAAGAAGCACCGGCUAACUACGUGCCAGCAGCCGCGGUAAUACGUAGGGUGCGAGCGUUAAUCGGAAUUACUGGGCGUAAAGCGUGCGCAGGCGGCGACAUAAGACAGAUGUGAAAUCCCCGGGCUCAACCUGGGAACUGCGUUUGUGACUGUGUUGCUAGAGUGUAGCAGAGGGGGGUGGAAUUCCACGUGUAGCAGUGAAAUGCGUAGAGAUGUGGAGGAACACCGAUGGCGAAGGCAGCCCCCUGGGUUAACACUGACGCUCAUGCACGAAAGCGUAGGGAGCAAACAGGAUUAGAUACCCACGUAGUCCCUGAGCGGGCUGGCAAGGCGCAU
This 472-nucleotide ribosomal RNA is filed under the name uncultured bacterium. Its description in RNAcentral is "bacterial SSU rRNA". It matches the Rfam family "Bacterial small subunit ribosomal RNA", at positions 355 to 825 of the family's 1533-position model. The record is from RNAcentral.